RNAcentral lists this ribosomal RNA (401 nucleotides) under Paenibacillus cineris. RNAcentral describes it as "bacterial SSU rRNA". It matches the Rfam family "Bacterial small subunit ribosomal RNA", at positions 123 to 510 of the family's 1533-position model. The record is from RNAcentral. Lineage: Bacteria; Bacillati; Bacillota; Bacilli; Caryophanales; Paenibacillaceae.
AACCUGCCUGCAAGACCGGGAUAACCCACGGAAACGUGAGCUAAUACCGGAUAUCUCAUUUCCUCUCCUGAGGGGAUGAUGAAAGACGGAGCAAUCUGUCACUUGCGGAUGGGCCUGCGGCGCAUUAGCUAGUUGGUGAGGUAACGGCUCACCAAGGCGACGAUGCGUAGCCGACCUGAGAGGGUGAACGGCCACACUGGGACUGAGACACGGCCCAGACUCCUACGGGAGGCAGCAGUAGGGAAUCUUCCGCAAUGGGCGAAAGCCUGACGGAGCAACGCCGCGUGAGUGAUGAAGGUUUUCGGAUCGUAAAGCUCUGUUGCCAGGGAAGAACGUCCGGUAGAGUAACUGCUAUCGGAGUGACGGUACCUGAGAAGAAAGCCCCGGCUAACUACGUGCCA